GCCCUCUCCCUGCGCAAACGUGGCUCCCGCUGGCCACACCCACAUCCACACCCACACCGGCAGAGGAAGGUCUAGGGGGUCGGACGAGGAGGAGAUGGGAGUUUGGGGGAAAGAUGAGAGCUUGGGAUUUAAGCUCGGAUUGUGGCACGCGCGCGCUUCGUUAGAGGAGCUCCAGAGGCGGCUUCCUAGCAGGCUAUUGGUCCCUAUAUUCGUUAGCCACCUAAGACAGCAAGGCUCACCUAACCAACUUCCUUUUCAGAAGAAGAGUUAUCGUACCCAAGGGAAACGUCGCGGCCCGUGUUACUACGAUCGUUGCUCGCCUCGUACCCUCCAGAAGCGUCUCAAUGGGCACUUUCUAGUCAAUCUCACGUCAAACCGUUGCUCGUCUCGUACCCUCCAAAAGGGUCUAAAUGGGCACUUUCUAGCCAAUCUCACGUCGGACCACACCUGACGAUAAGAGGCCUAUCUCGUUGUUUCCUGUGGUCAGAUGUUGAACUCGGUGCACAAGUCGGGCCUCCCCGGAAAAAGAAUCUUGUGUUUUCAAGACACCUAGCUCCAAUUGGUCCCCCGAAAGAGCGCUGAAUAUUCGUUGGCGACCAAAAAAGGGGAGGACACACAACAAGGUAAGAUAUCCCUAAAACGUCAAACAAAAUGCGACUAGUCACUAUAAUGCUGAAAUUCUCCACCAAACCAACAUAUAUAAGUCAAAAGGGAGCAAAUUCCAAGAAAAGAAGGCUUGAACCUCUAACAACAAAAUAAGGGUAACUCAAAUGUAAAAUGUCCAAAGGUCAAAACAAUAGAGAGAGAGAAACGCUGCUGGUCAAACAAAAGAGGACUACUCGUUACGUCACCACAAGGGGGAGAAAAUUCACACAAAGAUGGCUCAAAGUCUAGAUAACACCCACAACCAUUAAAAAUAAACAACUCCCCUAGGACAUCAACACGACUAAGAUGAGAGACGGGGACUUAGGAAACCUAUAAACCAGAGAAAAAGGUAAAAAGGAGAAUAUUUUGAUGAUAAAAAGAAGGUUCAAUUAGAACAGUCGACUCCCACCUAUAAAAUUUAAAAAAAAAAUUUGUUCUAUGUAUAUUGACACUUGUUGGUAUCGGUCAUUUCACUAUUUCUCUUUACCCAUUUACCCACAUCAAAACUUAGAGAUACAUUUCUCGAAUAAUAGUUCAAACCGCCUUUAACUCAAGAUCUCUCUAAGAAUUUGAAUGUCUAAAAUCAAACCACGCCAUGAACAGAAGUACAACAUCUUUACGAUUGUUGCCAAGAACAUAAUAGUUUGACUCCGGCGAGUUCAUGACGUUUUUUUUUCCAUUAAAAACUUCGUUCAGGUUCAUGACAUUAUGACAAGGGCGACUACGUAACAACGUUGAGAAACGACCGUACCGUACCGAGGACGGACUAUUUAGGAAUAGUAGAGUCUAAAUACACUUGGACAUGCGGUCUUUUCAUUUAUCGUCUACUUGUUUUUUCGGGUGAACCGAAUUAUUAAACAGUUUUGUAACAAAGAGAAAUC
This 1526-nucleotide ribosomal RNA is filed under the name Triticum aestivum (bread wheat). Its description in RNAcentral is "partial small subunit ribosomal RNA". The record is from RNAcentral. Lineage: Eukaryota; Viridiplantae; Streptophyta; Magnoliopsida; Poales; Poaceae.